UACACAGAGAGAGAGAGAGAGAGAGAGAGAGAGAGAGAGAGAGAGAGAGAGAGAGAGAGAGACCAUUUUUCUUCUAGAGAAUGUUGUGCAGUAUUAGGUGGUAGAUAAAAGUAGUACCCCGUUGGACUUUAUAUACAGUUGACCUGAUGUAAAUGUUUUCAGUUAUUUUUUUGUGCGUCUAUUUUGUAUUCUUCUUCUUCCGUCAUAUCAAUCGAAAUUCCAUCUGUUGCUA
This is a long non-coding RNA of Eucalyptus grandis, 232 nucleotides long. RefSeq lists it as uncharacterized. The transcript has 2 exons. NCBI's taxonomy places the organism in Eukaryota, Viridiplantae, Streptophyta, Magnoliopsida, Myrtales, Myrtaceae. The record is from RefSeq and is a predicted model, not a curated record.